UGAAUGCAUCUUGGCUUUCUAGAAACUGGAGAGACGGAGACAGCUGGUUGGCAUAAGAGCAUCGGCCUGAGAAUGUCAGAACUGAGGAAGAUUUGGUAGUGUGCCAAAGUGCUGGUUAUCACAGAGUUUCAUCUCAGCACAAAACUGCCCAGCUAAAGGAUGGUGAACUGAGUCCAGAAAUGAUAUCUUUUUGUUUUCUGUUUAUUCCUGGUGUUCCUGAGUACAAGGGGAUGGCCAAAAAAAUGAUGGUAUGGCAUGAUAGAAAGUGAAGACCUCUCUACACAUGACACUUUGUUAUGACUUCAUGGCGGUGUAGCAACAUGGAACAAGGUCCUACUCCUCCAGGAAGAUGAUGGAGAAUGCUGAAACUGUGCUCCAAGGCCACGAGAAGGAAAAGGCCUGGAUUUUCU
This is a long non-coding RNA of Homo sapiens (human), 410 nucleotides long. RefSeq lists it as uncharacterized. Lineage: Eukaryota; Metazoa; Chordata; Mammalia; Primates; Hominidae. The record is from RefSeq and is a predicted model, not a curated record. The transcript has 4 exons.